RNAcentral lists this ribosomal RNA (259 nucleotides) under uncultured Staphylococcus sp. RNAcentral's name for it is "partial 16S ribosomal RNA". It matches the Rfam family "Bacterial small subunit ribosomal RNA", at positions 103 to 356 of the family's 1533-position model. Lineage: Bacteria; Bacillati; Bacillota; Bacilli; Caryophanales; Staphylococcaceae. The record is from RNAcentral.
CGGGUGAGUAACACGUGGAUAACCUACCUAUAAGACUGGGAUAACUUCGGGAAACCGGAGCUAAUACCGGAUAAUAUUUUGAACCGCAUGGUUCAAAAGUGAAAGACGGUCUUGCUGUCACUUAUAGAUGGAUCCGCGCUGCAUUAGCUAGUUGGUAAGGUAACGGCUUACCAAGGCAACGAUGCAUAGCCGACCUGAGAGGGUGAUCGGCCACACUGGAACUGAGACACGGCCCAGACUCCUACGGGAGGCAGCAGCG